AGUUUGCAAGAUGGGCUUUCCCAGAUAGUUCAAGGGAGCUGAAGAUGAUAGAGUUUGAGCAGUUGAGGCAGACCGAGGAUAUGGGUGUAGAGGAGUUCACAGACAGAUUCUUGGAGCUGUUGCCAUUUGCAGGGCAAAACCUUGACACGGAUCAGAAAAGAUCAAGGAGGUAUAUCAUGAAACUCCACUCUAGAUAUUCCUCCUUGAUCCAGUCAGCAGAUAGGGAGAGCUUCCACGCCAUAGUGGAUAUGGCCCGGAAAAUGGAGGCCAGUGCCAUCGUUCAGGGAACAGUUAAGCAGUCAGUGGCACA
This 310-nucleotide long non-coding RNA is filed under the name Manihot esculenta (cassava). RNAcentral's name for it is "long non-coding RNA (MESC_LNC003278)". Lineage: Eukaryota; Viridiplantae; Streptophyta; Magnoliopsida; Malpighiales; Euphorbiaceae. The record is from RNAcentral.